Molecule: ribosomal RNA, 492 nt
Filed under: uncultured Sphingomonadaceae bacterium
Lineage: Bacteria; Pseudomonadati; Pseudomonadota; Alphaproteobacteria; Sphingomonadales; Sphingomonadaceae
Description: bacterial SSU rRNA
Rfam family: Bacterial small subunit ribosomal RNA
Source: RNAcentral
CUAGUGGCGCACGGGUGCGUAACGCGUGGGAAUCUGCCCUUAGGUACGGAAUAACUCAGAGAAAUUUGUGCUAAUGCCGUAUGAUGUCGAAAGACCAAAGAUUUAUCGGUAAAGGAUGAGCCCGCGUAGGAUUAGCUUGUUGGUGAGGUAAAAGCUCACCAAGGCGACGAUCCUUAGCUGGUCUGAGAGGAUGAUCAGCCACACUGGGACUGAGACACGGCCCAGACUCCUACGGGAGGCAGCAGUGGGGAAUAUUGGACAAUGGGCGAAAGCCUGAUCCAGCAAUGCCGCGUGAGUGAUGAAGGCCUUAGGGUUGUAAAGCUCUUUUACCCGGGAUGAUAAUGACAGUACCGGGAGAAUAAGCUCCGGCUAACUCCGUGCCAGCAGCCGCGGUAAUACGGAGGGAGCUAGCGUUGUUCGGAAUUACUGGGCGUAAAGAGUACGUAGGCGGUGAUUCAAGUCAGAGGUGAAAGCCUGGAGCUCAACUCCAGA